GUUGUUGUUGUCGUUAUCGUUGUUUUUGUUGUUGUCGUUUUUCUCGUUGUUCUUGUCAUUGUCAUUGUUGUCAUCGUCGUCAUUGUCGUCGUUGUUAUUGUUGUAGUUUUUUUUUGUUGUUGUUCUUGUCAUUGUCGUCGUCUUCUAUGUUGUUGUUGUUGUUGUAUUUAUUGUAUUUGUUGUUGUUGUUGGUGGUGGUGUUGUUGUUGUUGUUGUUGUUGUUGUUGUUGUUUCUGUUGUUGUUGUUGUUGUUGUUGUUGUUGUUGUUGUCGAUGUUCUCGCUGCUCUCAUCAUUGUCGUUGUUUUCGUCAUUGUUGUUGUUGUCGUUG
Molecule: long non-coding RNA, 329 nt
Filed under: Hordeum vulgare
Lineage: Eukaryota; Viridiplantae; Streptophyta; Magnoliopsida; Poales; Poaceae
Description: long non-coding RNA (HVUL_LNC009784)
Source: RNAcentral